GGGUGUCAUACAAUAAACUAGUCUUACAUGCACGCAAUGCGUGCGAUAGCAUGUGAAGUAGAAAAUAAAAUUAAUUGGGUAGAAAAACCGUUUUUUUUUACGGAGUAGAAAAACCGUCUUUACAUUUUGUUUUUUCAAAAAAUUGAUGUUUACUUUAAAUGUCCUACUUUCCUCCUUUUUUAUUCAAAUGAGAGAGUUAGUUAUGUCUCUAUUUUUUUUUUUUUUCUAUUUUUUGGUGUCCCCCAUGUGUUGCCUUAUAUAAUAGAGAUUCGUCGAAUUGAAAAUAAAUUAUAAGAAAAAAGAAAGCCAGGCGUAUGGGGUAUAUAUGAGAAACUAUUUCUCAAUUGAGGUAGAGAGCUUUGUGGCAGCGCACCUCUCAAAUCAUGACGGCGAAGUUCCGCCAUUAAUGAAAACUUUUGCUCAACAAUAUAACUGUUACCAAGUUUGGCCAGCACCAAGAGCAAAGACGACAACGACAACUCCUUCAAAUUCGACGGCGUCGUCUUGGCAAGGACCCUCACUGGUCUCUACGACGGCGUUUCGACGGUGGAAAUGAAUCAGCCAUUAUUGCGAUAUUCAGAAUUUUGAAGUGAAAUUGUUCUGAACAUGUUUCUAAGAUAUACUUCAGAAUUUUGCAUUUAAUUAGAGGUAUAUGCAAUUGCAGAAUAUUAGCAAUGAAAAAGGUAAUGAACAAUUCGAGAAGGUACUGAUGGGUCUUCUACGAAGAAUAUUGGACACAAACAAACGUGUCCAGGAAGUUGCUUGUUCGGCUUUUACGACACUUGAAGAGGAAGCUGUUGAAGAGUUGACACCACGAUUAGAAACUAUAUUGCAACACUAGCACAGUGCACCACCACAGAAACAACUGCCAUCCACCAGUGGUGAUUUUACGCCCUCUAACCUAUUCUCCGAUUUUCAAAAUCAAAUUUCAGCACAAAAUUCCUGCCAUGCUUAAAAAUAGUGCAAGUAUCUCUCAAACACCAGUAGCAAGUCUAGUGAAGAUACGUCAUCCAAGCUCGAAAACGGAACAUGUAGAGCAGGAUUUGCAAGAAAUUCAAAAUGAGGCCGCUAGGAAAAUGCAUGCAUAUGGCGAGAUGAUGGAAGAUGGAGAAGAGAUAUACGACUAUUAGAUCUAGUUUUAGAUUAUCAUGACUAUGUUGCUUGUUGGAUGAUUUAGAUUUUGUAUUGAGCAUAAUAUUAUUUUUCAUUAGUUUAUCUAUGAAAAUAACACGAAUAAGUGUAUAAAAUUAUAUCAUUAUUAUAAUAUAAUUGCCAAUUUAUAUAUCAA
Molecule: long non-coding RNA, 1288 nt
Organism: Beta vulgaris subsp. vulgaris (sugar beet)
Lineage: Eukaryota; Viridiplantae; Streptophyta; Magnoliopsida; Caryophyllales; Amaranthaceae
Exons: 4
Source: RefSeq, a predicted model, not a curated record